Oncorhynchus tshawytscha (Chinook salmon) is the source of this 2176-nucleotide long non-coding RNA. Lineage: Eukaryota; Metazoa; Chordata; Actinopteri; Salmoniformes; Salmonidae. The record is from Ensembl.
CCUCUUUCCACUGGGAUUCUCUGCCUCUAACCCUAUUACAGGGGCUGAGUCAUUGGCUUACUGGUGCUCUUUCAUGCCGUCCCUAGGAGGGGUGCAUCACUUGAGUGGGUUGAGUCACUGACGUGAUCUUCCUGUCUGGGUUGGCGUCCCCCCUUGGGUUGUGCCGUGGCGGAGAUCUUGUGGGCUAUACUCAGCCUUGUCUCAGGAUGGUAAGUUGGUGGUUGAAUAUAUCCCUCUAGUGGUGUGGAGGCUGUGCGUUGAUAAAGUGGGUGGGGUUAUAUCCUUCCUGUUUGGCCCUGUCCGGGGGUAUCAUCGGAUGGGGCCACAGUGUCUCCUGACCCCUCCUGUCUCAGCCUCCAGUAUUUAUGCUGCAGUAGUUUAUGUGUCGGAGGGGCUAGGGUCAGUUUGUUAUAUCUGGAGUUCUUCUCCUGUCUUAUCCGGUGUCCUGUGUAAAUUUAAGUAUGCUCUCUCUAAUUCUCUCUUUCUCUCUUUCUUUCUGUCUCUCGGAGGACCUGAGCCCUAGGACCAUGCCUCAGGACCACCUGGCAUGAUGACUCCUUGCUGUCCCCAGUCCACCUGGCCGUGCUGCUGCUCCAGUUUCAACUGUUCUGCUUGCGGCUAUGGAAUCCUGACCUGUUCACCGGACGUGCUACCUGUCCCAGACCUACUGUUUUCAACUCUCUAGAGACAGCAGGAGCGGUAGAGAUACUCUUAACGAUCGGCUAUGACAGGCCAACUGACAUUUACUCCUGAGACAUUAACGAGUGUUUGAAAGGGACUCACCACUGUGUCACCUGGCAGAGUUGCAUCAACACAGAGGGCUUUUUUCGCUUGUCAGCGUGACACAAACUGUGGUACAGGCUACGAACUCACUGACACCAACACCUGCCAAGGACAAUGACUCAAACACACCUCCAGGCUGUGUAAGGGCUAUUUGACCAAGAAGGAGAGAGAUGGAGUGCUGCAUCAGAUGACCUGGCCUCCACAAUCACCCGACCUCAACCCAAUUGAGAUGUUUUGGGAUGAGUUGGACCGCAGAGUGAAGGAAAAGCAGCCAACAAGUGCCCAGCUGUAAUGAUGUACGCUGAGAGUCGGGAAGCAAGUUCAGGGAGUGAAUACAUUUAAUUAAUAAAUGAACAAAACAGGAAACACAAACAGCGCACGGACACGAAACUGGUGGUGGUGCUGGUGGACAGCAUACUUUUAGGACAGCAUGAACUCUCCAGGCUGCAUUCAGUUGCCUUCAAAUUCGAGGCAGCCACGUUUUUCAGUUGUUUGGGUACAAUGUCUUCUAUCGCUCCCUCCAUUGUCAGAUAUUGAUGAGUGUGGCCUGCCAACAGGGGGUCACGGGUGUUCCUACCACUCUUCCAACACCCAAGGCAGCUUCCGCUGUACCUGCCCUCCCAUGAGCUACACCCUCGCCCCCAACAGACAUACUUGCCAAGGCCAGGGAAAAAUAUCAGCAUCCCUCCAUUCCUCCUCUCCUUCAUACAUCCAUUGUCCCUCAUUCUCCCUCACUCUUAGAAAAAAUGGUUAUUCAGCUUUCCCUAUAGGAGAAACCAUUUUGGGUCCAGGUAGAACCCUUUUUGUUUCCAUGUUCUAACUGGAACCAAAAAGGGUUAUUCAAAGUGUUAUUCUAUGGAGACAGCCAAAUAAUGCUUUUAGGUUGUAGAUAAACAUACUCAGAAACAAGGUGCUAUCUAAACAUUAUUGUUUAGAUAAACACAUUGGAAAUAAUGUAUUUUGUGUUUUUGUGAAUGUGUCGAUUAUGUGCAAGUAUGUGCAAAUGUGUUUAGAUGUAAUUUAAUACCAAAAAGGUUUGAACGUGAGACGUCACUAGCAAACCCAUUCCCUUGUUGAAGGGGACCCUAUUUUACUUGGAAGUGAGAUUCUGGUACAGGAGGGUUAGCUUUGCACUAGAUGCUAAGCUAACAAAGGGAGCGCAGCCAUUUUUUUUCUUUGUUCACAGGGUUACACCCUGUGCAUUGGGAAACGGAAUUCCUGCCCUUUGCUUUAGCAAGCUCAUUGAGGCCAACUCUCACAGUACGAAUCCAGUAUUGACGUAAGUCCCGCCUUUGCGGGAAUCCAAUGUGGUUUCAGCCCUCAGGGAUAAGUGACCCCUGGUGGCAAGGAAUCAACAAUUAUUUAUAAAAAAAUAAAAUAACACAUUUCAGUG